GAGGGUAUAGCUCAAGUGGUAGAGCACAUGCUUAACAUGCAUGAGGUCCUGGGUUCAAUCCCCAGCACCUCCU
RNAcentral lists this transfer RNA (73 nucleotides) under Camelus bactrianus (Bactrian camel). It matches the Rfam family "tRNA". From Rfam's summary of the family: Transfer RNA (tRNA) molecules are approximately 80 nucleotides in length. Their secondary structure includes four short double-helical elements and three loops (D, anti-codon, and T loops). The record is from Rfam by way of RNAcentral. Lineage: Eukaryota; Metazoa; Chordata; Mammalia; Artiodactyla; Camelidae. RNAcentral also lists the same sequence under 1 other name.